Long non-coding RNA from Saccostrea cuccullata (small rock oyster), 996 nucleotides. RefSeq lists it as uncharacterized. The record is from RefSeq and is a predicted model, not a curated record. NCBI's taxonomy places the organism in Eukaryota, Metazoa, Mollusca, Bivalvia, Ostreida, Ostreidae. The transcript has 4 exons.
AUAUGUGCAUCUGUACUUGCACAUAAAUGCUAACAACUGAUAACAAUGUACUUUGCUAAUGCUAAUAAUUUAGAGACAAAGGUACAUAAGCAUAACUAUAAUUAGUUACUCAAGUAACAUAUCCUAAUCUUCCUUGAUUUCAUUUACAGAGUUAAUCAGAACAGAGGAUACCGAUGGACACAAUUCAUGUUACUAAUCUUAAGCUCUCAUGAAAAAUAAUUAAGGCUUGAAAAGGUUCUCAAGGGGAGAUGGUCUUCGGUACGGCUCUGGUUUCCUUGCUGAUGGUCUUCUGGGCAUUUGAUAAACAACUGAUUUCAUUCUGGGAGGUGGCGGAGACUUCUUCCGAUAGGAUAUAUUCAGGCGUUCACCUUCCUCUGGUCCAUGAUGCACAGACCUCAUCUCCUCGGUACGGGCAAACCACACAAUUCCACACUCUGCCUCUUCUGCCGUCUAUGGGCAUCAACGACAUCCUGCAAGUUGAUAAAGGGCUGCAAAGGCAUGACAGAGAAUAACAAAAAUGACUGGACAGAUUGAGAUGCGUCAGAAUUGUAGUCUCUACCCACCAGCACAUCCUCUUCAAUGUGUCUGCUUACAGGAGAUUCCAAAUCUCGACUUCUUCUUGCCGCGCGACUACGAGCUUUUCUCUUAGAACCCAUGACAUAAAGUUACUUUGUAAACAAGUAAAAUAACUUGUACAUAAAACACCAAGAUGAUGCAAGUAAACAGUAUUGUAUACCAAAUGUUUUUUUUUUCUUUUAAAUAACCUGUAACUUACAGGUACAUGAAAAACUUCUUUUUUUUAGAGGUACAGAAUUCAAUCACUGGAUCUGUAAAUUUUACAGAUCCCGCCGUGGAUGCCAAAAUUGUAACGUGCGGAUACGCUAACUGGACUGUCUUCAACAAGUCAAGAACUCCAUUGAAAGUUUAUAAAUUUAUUUAACAGGAAACAAAACAAUACUGUUCAACAUUUCACAAAAUCUCUGGUGUUUCACAAAC